Molecule: ribosomal RNA, 369 nt
Filed under: uncultured organism
Description: bacterial SSU rRNA
Rfam family: Bacterial small subunit ribosomal RNA
Source: RNAcentral
CGGAGGAUCCAAGCGUUUAUCCGGAAUCUAGUUGGGUUUAAAGGGUCCGUAGGCGGUUUGAUAAGUCAGUGGUGAAAGCCCAUCGCUCAACGAUGGAACGGCCAUUGAUACUGUCAGACUUGAAUUACUGGGAAGUAACUAGAAUAUGUAGUGUAGCGGUGAAAUGCUUAGAUAUUACAUGGAAUACCAAUUGCGAAGGCAGGUUACUACCAGUGGAUUGACGCUGAUGGACGAAAGCGUGGGGAGCGAACAGGAUUAGAUACCCUGGUAGUCCACGCCGUAAACGAUGGAUACUAGCUGUUCGGAGCAAUCUGAGUGGCUAAGCGAAAGUGAUAAGUAUCCCACCUGGGGAGUACGUUCGCAAGAAUG